This 253-nucleotide ribosomal RNA is filed under the name uncultured bacterium. RNAcentral's name for it is "partial 16S ribosomal RNA". It matches the Rfam family "Bacterial small subunit ribosomal RNA", at positions 524 to 776 of the family's 1533-position model. The record is from RNAcentral.
UACGUAGGGAGCAAGCGUUGUCCGGAAUCAUUGGGCGUAAAGCGCGCGUAGGUGGCCUCAUAAGUCCGCUGUGAAAGUCAAAGGCUCAACCUUUGAAAGCCGGUGGAUACUGUGAGGCUAGAGUACGGAAGAGGCGAGUGGAAUUCCUGGUGUAGCGGUGGAAUGCGCAGGUAUCAGGAGGAACACCAAUAGCGAAGGCAGCUCGCUGGGACGUUACUGACACUGAGGCGCGAAAGCGUGGGGAGCGAACAGG